AACGAACGCUGGCGGCAGGCUUAACACAUGCAAGUCGAACGCUCACUUCGGUGAGAGUGGCAGACGGGUGAGUAACGCGUGGGAAUAUACCUAUCAGUACGGAACAACAGUUGGAAACGACUGCUAAUACCGUAUACGCCCUUCGGGGGAAAGAUUCAUCGCUGAUAGAUUAGCCCGCGUUAGAUUAGCUAGUUGGUGGGGUAAAGGCCUACCAAGGCGACGAUCUAUAGCUGGUCUGAGAGGAUGAUCAGCCACACUGGGACUGAGACACGGCCCAG
RNAcentral lists this ribosomal RNA (278 nucleotides) under uncultured bacterium. RNAcentral's name for it is "partial 16S ribosomal RNA". It matches the Rfam family "Bacterial small subunit ribosomal RNA", at positions 29 to 334 of the family's 1533-position model. The record is from RNAcentral.